Long non-coding RNA from Lycium barbarum (goji berry), 804 nucleotides. RefSeq lists it as uncharacterized. The record is from RefSeq and is a predicted model, not a curated record. The transcript is spliced from 3 exons. Lineage: Eukaryota; Viridiplantae; Streptophyta; Magnoliopsida; Solanales; Solanaceae.
AAAUGGGCCCAACCCGAUUCCAAUCCGGGUCAGGCCCAUUUCCUUAUUAUUUAAGGGAGUUUUCAGCCCCCUCCUCCACAUUUCAGAUCAGAAAAUUCCAUUAGAGAGAGAGAGAAAACUUCAAGGCUAAGAAGGUCAUUUUGAUCAAAAUCCGAGCUCCGAAUCCCGAAGCUCAUGAAGAGAAAAACGUUGUACGUUGCAUUGCCUUCAAUUUGAGAUAAAUAUUGGUCUUGGGGGAUGAAAUUUUCGUGGUGGAUCUUCUGAUAAGAUUUUGGAUGAAAUUGAAGUCGACGCCAAGCGAGCGUAAGGCGCUAUCGAGGUACAGGCGCACUCGGUGACACGCCGCCAGUCUAGGGCACAGGUUCUGCUAUCUUGAAGAGCUCCUUUUGAUUCGGAGCAUGUACUUUGGUAUAUAUAUCUUCUGUUUUCCGUAUGUUCUGUAUGUAUGGAAGUUCUGGGUACGGCGGGGCCCUGUCCCGUCAUACGAUUCUGUAUGUCUGUAGAGGCCUGUAGAUAGAUGUGUGGGUUACGGGUUUCGUCUGUAUAUUAGCCUUAUCGGCUUAUCUGUAAAUGUCUGCAUGUUUAGGUAUAUAUAUAUAUGUUUGCGCGCGUGCCGUAUCUGUAUCGGCUUACUUCUCUAAUAUCCGUUUGAAAAAAAAAAAUCUGUACGAAACGAAAUUCGGUCAGGUAGGUAUGUACGGGUACCCAGCUAGGGUGCCAGUCGCGGCCCACGGGGUUGGGUCGUGACACUAGGUUUGAACGACAAAAGUCAAAUUAAUUCUGAUAUCUUAUAACUUUGUGUUC